GCCCGUACCGGAACCGGAACAUGCGCUGACGCGCGGGACGGAGGGGCGGGUACAGCCGGUACGAGCGGGUCGCGGCCCGGUCCCGUCCGGCCGCCGUUACCGCGACCAUGUCGGCGGCGCUGGACCUGCGCUCGAAGGAGGAGAAGGACGCGGAGCUGGACCGGCGCAUCGCGGCGCUGCGCAGGAAGAACGAGGCCAUCAUCCGGCGGUACCAGGAGAUCGAGGAGGACCGCAAGAAGGCUGAGCAGGAGGGGGUGGCAGUGACCACCCUGCACCGGGCUCGGGACCCCUCCGGUGCCACCCAGGAGCAGCGCCCGGGGAAAGAGAAGAAGCCGCCGGGGGCCCCCCGGCUCGGCCGCGGCUCCAGGCCCCCCGGGCCCCGUCCCAGCGGCCGCCCCCCCCGGGGACACCCCCCCGGUGACCCCGCUUGGGAGGGGGCCGGGCCCAGCGCCGGGGACUGGCGGCCGCGGGGCCGGGGACUGGUCAAACUGGUGGCGAGGGGCAGCGCCGGCCCCAGCCAGGCCUCCAAGUGGGAGCAGCGCCGGCGCCAGAACAUCGAGCGCAUGAAUGAGGAGAUGGAGAAGAUCGCGGAGUACGAGCAGAGCCAGAGGGACGGGCUCCCGGAGAAGAACCCGGUGCGGAACUUCCUGGACGACCCUCGCCGCUCGGGCCCAUCCCAGGAUUCCGACCGGAGGGAUGGGAGCCGCCGCCACGGCCGCAACUGGGGGGGGCCAGACUUCGAUAAGGUCAAGACAGGGAUGGAGCGGGACCGGAUGUGGCCGAGCCCCGGCCGCCACGCGGGCGCCGGGGACAUGACGCUGUCCAUGACGGGCCGGGAGCGCGCCGAGUACCUGCGCUGGAAGCAGGAGCGGGAGCGCAUCGACCGGGAGCGGGUGGCGCGGCACCGCAAGCCCGGCGGGCAGUGGCGGCGCGAGUGGGACGCCGAGAAGUCCGACAGCAUGUUCCUGGAGGGCUCCGCGGCCGCUCCCGCCUGGGACUCGGGCUCGAGGGAGGAGCUCCGGCGCCCGGCUCCCAAACCCCCCACCCUGGGCGAGUUCCUGCCCCAGCAGAAGCCACGGGGCCGGGGCCGGGGCCUCGGGGCCAAGUCCUACAGCAUGCACGACAACCGCUGGGAGGAGAAGGAGCCAGAGCCAGCGCCCGCGGCCGAGAGCUGGGAGACAGAGGAAACACCAACCGAGCCCCCCCUGGAGCCCCCCCAUUCCCUGACCCCCGAGGAGGAGGAGGAGGAGGAGGAGGAGGAAGAGCAAUGGGAGGAUGUCAGCGAAGAGGAUGAGGAUGAAGAUGGCAGCGAGGAGGAGGAGGAAGAGGAGGAGGAGGAGGAGGACGACGGCAGCACAGGGUCACUGAACAAGGAGGAAGCACCCCCCAGGCUGAGCCCCCUGGAGUCCCCCCAGAGGGAUGAAGUGAGGCUCGACGCGGAGCAGGAGGCGGAGGAUGAGAUAAGAGAAGCCCUGGAUCCGGCGCCCGGCACCGUGGAGAUCACGGACUUCCACCGGGUGCGUUUCCGUAAGCACUCGCCACCUCCGGCCGGGCACUAGCGGGUCCCGCGCCCGCCGUGGGGCUCUGUCUGUCUGUCUGUCCUCCCUCCUCUGCUUCCCGGCGCUCCCGCUGACAGACUGCCUCCUCCUGCACAACACCCGGAGCUGCCGCCUCUCGCUCCCGGACCACCAGGCUCUCCGCCGGCCCCGAGCGGCCGCUCCGGCCCCGGGCUCGCUCCCGCCGUGAUCCCGGCAGCACCUGGACACUGGGAGCCUCAGGAAGCACCGGGAAGGAGGGAGGGAGGGAGGGAAGACCCCCCCCCCGCUCCCCCCCACAUCCCUCGGGAAGCUGCGGUGCCGGCGCUGGAGCCGGGAUGCGCCGUCGGUCAUUGAAGGUUCCAAAGGGGCUCUGGGGGCUCCGGCUGUGCUGGACCCGCCGGGGGGGCGACACGGACACCCCCGAUCCUGGCCCGUGCCCCGGAGCCAGGUGCGGGGGGGGGGGGACACCCCAGUUCUUUGUUAAUAAACGUCUACAACAGC
Molecule: RNA transcript, 2039 nt
Organism: Strigops habroptila (Kakapo)
Lineage: Eukaryota; Metazoa; Chordata; Aves; Psittaciformes; Psittacidae
Gene: CCDC9
Gene name: coiled-coil domain containing 9
Exons: 13
Source: RefSeq, a predicted model, not a curated record